Molecule: long non-coding RNA, 4248 nt
Organism: Betta splendens (Siamese fighting fish)
Lineage: Eukaryota; Metazoa; Chordata; Actinopteri; Anabantiformes; Osphronemidae
Exons: 2
Source: RefSeq, a predicted model, not a curated record
AUAGAAAAACAAAACCAGACUAUAGAAAAACAAAACCAGACUGUAGAAAAACAAAACAGACUGCAGGAAGACUGAGACUGACUGAAACAGACUAUUAAUGACUAUUAAAGGGAAGACGACUAUUAGAGAGAAGUAAUAAUAAUUACUGUACGUACCAGACUAUUAAAGAAAAACUAAUUCUUUCACUGUCUUGUGCAACAUCUGACAGCAAGACACCUUAACAUUCAUCUUUGCUUUCAAACUUGUGCCCAGUUAAAUUUUUAGGAAGAGAUCUCAUGUAGUUUAGAUAUUUGAUUGAUUUCCACUCCAGACGGAGUGCAGGUUACAUCUACAGACAUUCUAAAUAAUCCCUCUUUUGUUGGUGUUAACUUCAGCUCAGCUGUGCUCUUAUCAUUGGCUGCUGAGGGGGGGCUGUAACUGAGGCCCUCACACAGGCUGCAUCACAGCUUGUUUAUGAUUUCACACACACACACAAACUGACCUCAACUUCCCUCUUUUGGGAUGAACACAGGUCUGCGCUUGCGAUUUCUUUUACUAACGAACAAAAAGAUUUUUGAUGUUUAUUCUACAGCUCCACACGUCCCUCUGUGAAAACAUGAUGGAGACAGAUGCAGGACGUGGGUCCUUUCGUGAACAGAUGUGAACGGGGUGGAGACUGGUGAACGACUUCUGACCCCAUAGGACGCUCUGACCCAACACUCAGCCUUACAGGAAGCCCUGCUUCCCUGUGGCUCACACACAUAUGAUGUAGGUUUGAUCAGAGGAUGUGAACUAGUGGUCAUCACACCUAAAUCUGACCACAAACCAUGUAAACAACAACACCCUCUUAAAGGAAGCCAUAGAUGGCGUUACUGCAGACACCACUAAGCUACAGAAACAUUGGAUGCUACAGGCCACAAAGAGAGCCUGUCUAAAUUACAGUUAGUUCAGACAAAGGUUAUUUUCUGGGUCAUUGUAAUUACAGCUGAUGGCAAAUCCAUCUCACCCAACAGAGUUGAAGCAAUUUGAAACCUGCCUAAACCGUGCACGUAUAAACAGCUGAUGUCUUUUCUAGGUCUUUGUUCUUAUUGUAGGACUUUCGUUCCUAACUUUACUGUCUUUGAGGCCCCACUCAGGGUUCUGAUGCAGACGUCUUCAUCGUCCACUUCUUGUCUCACGUGGACGUCUGAGGCUGAACAACGUUCACUGACCUCAUGCUUGCUCUUCAGUCGACUCCUACUUUGGGUCUUCCUGAUCUGACCCUAUGCGACCUUUCACUCAAACAGUGGAUGAGAAAUCAGGUUGUACGACUUCUGUUCUUUGUCCUCAUACUGUGUCUUUGAUUCUUUUGGAAAACAUCACAUCUUUCCACAGCUCGACGGCUUAGAUACAACACCACCUUACUCAACUUGCUGAACGUUACUAUCAAGACGUCGUCUUGAAGUCUGGCACUUUGCUAAGACACUACUCUGCUCAGGCUGCAGAGUUGAUUGCGUUGACUGAAGCUAUUAAACUAGCAGAAGGAGAGUCUGUUACCAUCUACACAGACUCACAGACGCUCUGUGGAAGCAUAGGAAGCUUUUGAAGUCUGAUUGCAAACCUAUCUUAGUUCAUGAUUAGGUUCUGCUUUGCUGGACGCUGUCCUGCUGCUUACAGCUAAUGCUGUUUGUAACUGUCCGACUCACAACAUCAGUGAUGACUUUGUUUCUGCCGACAUGCAGCUGCAGAAGCUGCUGCGAAGGUCACUGCCCAACAACCCCUCCCUCUCCUGAUCCUCGUUUCCUCUCCUGAUCCUUGUUCCCUCUCUCCAACUCUCUCUAUCCUUUCCUUCCUCAUCUCCCUGUGCUUUAAACAUUUUCUACCUCACAGGAACGCAGACUCUGGCUGACGCAUGGUUCCACCUGUAGCCAUGGAGUCUGGUUUGGGCCUGAUGGCAGCCGUGCCGCCCAAACACCUUUUUCCCCACAAUUCAGAUUUCCCAACAGGUGAAAACAGGCGACAGGACCAUUACACCAUCCAACGAGGGGACUGGCGAUCGUUAAGGAGUUCAGGAGGAAGCACUGGGACUCCAAACGGUGGCGAGGCCACUUCCAGGUCCUUCUGACGACCCACACGGCUGAAAGAUCGCAGUGAGAGUGACUUGGAUCCACUCCACUGCAAGAAGGUCCCGGAUCCAACAGACGACCCUCCAUCUACAUCUACACCACACAAGAAAACCACCACUGACGAAAAGAAUUGAGAAGAACGACCCUCGCUGUGCUCACACACGCACUGAGGCGAGGCUGCGUUGACCGUUCAGCUAAAGGUGUGAGCCAAGCGCCGCCUGAAGCUGCGCCGGUGAAUCACACUAUCAGACCAUACAUCUACACACACGUUCCUGAGAAAACACACACACGAGCAGCCUUGAGUUGCCGACGCUGGACGACGUGUAGACUCUUCACAUCACGGGAGUGACAGUGACUCAGACGACAUUGGGAGGAAACCUGGCGGUGAUAACGAAUCCCAAGUGUCUCUGUGAUCAGCUGAUCACAACCGAAGAACCCCAACGAACUGUCAAUACUUCAACACACAGGUUGGAAACAAUCUAACGCUACUGUUCAAUAAGAAGAAGCAGAUUGUUACAGACAUCAAUUGUAACCUUGUUGUGUUAGACAUUUUAUGUUACUCUGAUUAUUGCCUUGAUCAUAUGAUGUUUCUAUGUAACUUUACACACUACUUUUGAAUGAGAAAAUUUCACAACAACAACAACAACGACACUGAGUUUAAAUAUCCUGAAGUUGACUUGGUGUUUAAUUUGCUCACAAUCACUUUAUUCACUGCUACAAUUAGUUUUAUCCUUCAUUUACAGAUGAAAGACAACACAAGCGGCAAUAUGCAUCAUCAUUCUGGUUAAAUCCCUGAAUCUCCUAUUCGCUCUAGACGCAAAUGUACAAUUAAAGAUCCGAAAGCAUUAAAUCUAUCUUAAGAAUAUAUGAAACAGAACCCCACCGGAAACGUAUGGCUAUCAUACAUUAAUGGUCUUUAUUACAUUACAAUUGAAUGGCCGUAGACACGUUGUUAGCAGAGAAAAGAGGCGUUUGUGUUAUGUUUGGAGACGCAUAUUGUACUUACAUCCUGAAUAACACUGAUUCUAAUGGUAAUGUGUCGAAGGCGCUCCACGGCCUUCAGAAUCUCAGCUAACUCUGGUAUAGGUUCUUUCCCUUGGAAUUGGCUAGACGAGAUGUCUGGAAAAUGGAAAUCUGUUCUCAUGUCUGCAGCUGUUUCCUUUAUAAUUGAGAUGGCUGUGAUUCUCUUGUUUGGUUUUUACGUUAUCCCACUGGUUAGAGGUCUCAUCAUGCGUGCGACCUCAGCAACACUCUCGUAUGAGAUGACACAAUGCACUAUGUUCAAAAACCCCAACUCUAAUUUACUUAAUGACUUUGACGAUGAUCUUAGGCUAUCUAAUCACAAAAUAUAAUCUGAUACAAAUAUGAUUAUGAGCUUAUUUUCUUCACAUGCCAAUACAGAAGUUAUUCUUGUAUAACUACCCACCAAAACAGCUCCCAACCUUUUGUCCCUAAGUUACCUGCAUUUUAUGUGAAGGUGUAUUUUGAAUCUUGAUGAGUUAAUACCCUUAUUGUUUCAUUUGCAAGGGUCUUUUAUUAUUACAGAAUGUGACGUUGACAAUUUUUAUUCUUUUAUGGGUUGAUUAAUGUGUAAUCAAAAGGGGGGAGUGUUAUGGGAAAAAUUGUCUCUUCCUUAUUUCUAUGUCUCUUCCUUACUUCUAUGCAGUUAUUAUAUGAUUUAUUACUUAUGUUCUGCAAUUAAUAUCUUAUGUUUUGUCUUACUGUAUGCAUUUGACAUUUCACCUAGAUUGUUCAAUGGUUGUCUCUGCCUGAUAGACUCUCAACUCUAGCUCCCAAACCCAAGGUCGGGGAGUUGUGUCUCUAUCUGUUGAGACUUGGUGCUCCUUUCUCACAGAUAGUUGGACGUCAGCGAUGCAGGUGUGAGAAUGUAAAUAUCUUCACACACACUGCGACAGGGAGGAGAUGGUGCAUGUAAUUUGAUUGGGUUAGAAAGACAUUCCACCCUAGUCGGACAGAGAAGCUAAAAGGCAGAAGCAACUUUAGGAUCGUGGGCUCUUUGCAUCACACCUUCGUGGUGUGUGCACUGAUCUCCCCAGCUGGUUUUUGGGUUGUUGAUGUGCACGAUCAACAUCCAUGCUUUUUAUUUGCUUUCCCCAUUAUUUUUAUUUUCUUUAUUAUUUCAAUAAAUCGCACAAAAGGACAA